RNAcentral lists this ribosomal RNA (122 nucleotides) under Martiniozyma abietophila. Its description in RNAcentral is "Martiniozyma abiesophila partial 26S ribosomal RNA". It matches the Rfam family "Eukaryotic large subunit ribosomal RNA", at positions 1 to 120 of the family's 3401-position model. Lineage: Eukaryota; Fungi; Ascomycota; Pichiomycetes; Pichiales; Pichiaceae. The record is from RNAcentral.
UUCGACCUCAAAUCAAGUAGGAAUACCCGCUGAACUUAAGCAUAUCAAUAAGCGGAGGAAAAGAAACCAACAGGGAUUGCCUCAGUAGCGGCGAGUGAAGCGGCAAAAGCUCAAAUUUGAAA